Long non-coding RNA from Vespa velutina, 9684 nucleotides. RefSeq lists it as uncharacterized. The record is from RefSeq and is a predicted model, not a curated record. The transcript is spliced from 3 exons. Lineage: Eukaryota; Metazoa; Arthropoda; Insecta; Hymenoptera; Vespidae.
AAAGGGUGAAUUGCAAAGAAGCGUAAACCCACCUGUCGACUGAAAGCGUCUGGCAUCGUGAACGUUGAGGUUAUCCAACAGUAGGUGUUGAUGACAUGUUGUGGCAGGCCAUGACCGACGAUACAUGAGAUUGGAUUUCCAACGAACUGAUUCGCGGUGAUUAUUAUUGAGCAAGUUAGAAGCACCACCGAAGUAAAGUUAUUAUGUAUGCGAAAGAGCAAAGAUACGGUGGAGACUUCUUGCCAUUUGAGAUAAUAGGCUAGACCACCCAAAAGCCUAAACAUGAUCGUUCUUCUUCUUUAAUCACUUUUGAUCGAAAUUUUCUUCCUCUCUCUUUCUCUCUCUCCCUCCCUCUCUCUCUCACUCUCUCUGUCUGUUUGUCUGUCUCUCUCCCUCUAUCGAAAGGAUUCUAACACAUAUAUAAAAUAAUGACAAUACCCUCCCUUGUAACAAACCGUUUAACAAAAUCGUUCGAAAACUUGGAAAUCAAUCCCCCUUUUGCCACUGUGUCUGUCUAGUUCUUUCUUCUCGGAAAGCGAACAACAAACGACGAUCCUUUUUCCCUCUUCUUUUCUCUCUUCCUCCCCCUCCCUUUUACCAUUCGUUGCCCUUCACCACGCUCGAGCGCGUCGUCCUCUUCUUCUUCUUCUUCUUCUUCUUCUUCUUCUUCUCUCUUUCUCUAUUUCUUCUCGCUCGACAAGGAGACAAGACCUCGGUCACGAAUGACGUCUAUGACGGAGACAACGACGAAGAGAAGACGAUGAUGAAACGAUAGAGGUCAGCGAACGUAAAGCUAAGCAAAAGAAGAGAGAGAAAAAGAGAGAGAGAGAGAGAGAGACAGAGAGAGAAAGAGAGAGAAAAAGAGAUAUAAAGCCUAAGCUACUAGCAACCACCACUCGUGAACGCACAACCGACCGCGUCGUCACGAAUCGGGACUCGUUUGCCCGUACCGAUGCAUUUUUCGAACACGUGCUGCCCUGUGUACGGCGCGAGCCGGAUAAAACCGAGUUUAACCGAGAAUGUCCGAAUCAAAGUUUCUGGCGCGCGAACGACAGACUGUAUUCUCUCUCUCUCUCUCUCUCUCUCUCUUUUUUUUUCGCUUCUCUCUCUUUUCUUCUGACUAAUGCGACGAACGUGCAACACAUUCGAACCUUUCUCUUUCUAUUUUUCUCUCCCUUAUUUUAAAAAAACGUAAACUCUACGAACGUUAUUUUUUCAAUUUUAUUAUUAUUAUUUUUGUUCUAUUUUUGUCUUUUUUUUUUUUUUUUUAAAUUUACCAUCAACCAAGUUUUUCUUCGUCUCUCUAUCCUCGAAAAAUCUUUUAUAAUAAAUCGUAUAAUAUAUAUUUAUAUAUCGGUUAUUUAUAUAUCGUUUGAGUCGUUUAAAAAGUAUAGAAGUAAUACGAAGUUGUGUAACUACCGAUUCGUUACCUAUCCUUUACUGCUCCUCCCUCUCGUCGUAUUUAUCCCUCUUUUCCUCCCUUUCUACGUCCAGACUAUCCCCCUCUUCUUUCUCUCUCUCUCUCUCUCUCUCUCUCUCUUUCUCCUUCUCCAUAGGUUUACCCUCACGCUCUUUCCUUCUCUAUAUCCCCCAUUCUCCUUUCUCUUUCUCUCUCUCUCUCUCUCUCUCUCUCUCUCUCUUUUUCUUUCACUCGCCGCGAUCGCGCCGUGAAUCGAGUUUUAUUCCUUUGAAAGCCGCCGCCGCCGACAAGAUAUGUAACAUAAACGUAAAGAAAUCGUCCUGGUUCUCUUCUGUUAAAAGUUUCUUUUUUUUUAAUUCUUAUUUUCUUUUUCUUUCGUAAAUACGUGUCCGUAAAUACGCACGUAGUUUAACGCGCGUACCAGUACUCUCGAACGGCGACUGGCGAGGAACACACUGCGAUCGUUUGUUGUUUCUCGUCGUAACGGGGGGAGGGGAGAAAAUCGGUAGCGCAAGAGGGGCUCGACUGCGGAUGCCGGGGGCUCGUCGUACUUUUACAGGAGAGGGAACACGUCCAAGAGAGAAAAAGAGAGGGGAAGGGCACGAAACGAAGAGGGGGACCAGAUGUGAUCUCUCCCACCUCGUCUACAUAUUUUUUAACUACAUACAAUACGCUACGCAAACGCAAGGCGAGUUCCUGCCUACCUACGUGGCUGCAUAUGCUAAUGUUCCCGCGUCCUCUUCACCGUACCAGAAGCAGUUCACGGACCAGAUGUGCAGCAUGAUGCAACAGUUGUAACUUCUGCUUCAGAAAAGCAACGCGAUAUUGUAUGCUUUUCGUCGACCGUCUAUGUAUCUCGACGAUUACGAUAUCUGUCUUCCUCUACUCUGCAAGGACAAUUUCAAAUAUGGAUUUGCUUAGUAAAAAUGUAAUUUAAAGGGGGAGAAAAAAAAAAAAAAGGAAGAAAAGAAAAGAAAAACCAACAUAAAAUAUUUAUAAACUUUAAAAAUCAAAAGGAUCUUUCGUAAUGAAACAGUUUACAUUAUGGUUUUGCGAUAGACGAUCUAUCGUUGUACGCUUUUCGAUCUUUCUAUUUUAUAAAGUGACGGCACCGUCAUCGUAACUUCGAUGCUGUCUACAUACAUAAUUGCAAAAAAACAAGCUUACGAAGUAACGCGAUCUAUAACGUAUGUAAGAAUAUAUCUUAAUUAAGAAAGUAUAAUUCUAUUAAAAGAUACAUAUAUUAAUCAUAUAUACGAUUUUCAAAGAUUCAAAAAUCAUUAGAUACAUAGUAAAAUAGAAUUAUUUUAAAAACGAUAAUUAUUUUUAAACUAUGCUAUCUCUUUUCGUUCAUGAUGAACAGUAAAAUACAUAUGCACCUCUAAAGUAACCCUGUCAUUUGAUACUCUAUGCGAAUCUAUAUCCUCGGUAUCUAUUUAUAAACGCACUAAAGAACGAUAUAUCAAAGUCGAUGGACGAACCACAGCUCAACAACGUCCUACGCUCCCCUACUGUGAAAACUGCUCACACUAGCUCUCUCACUCUCUCACUCUCUCACUCUCUCACUCUCUCUCUCUCUCUCUUUCUCUCUCUCUCUCUCUUUCUAUAUAUCUCUAUCUCUAUCUCUAUCUCUCGUUUGUUCGCUCGCUUGCUCGUGUGUUUCUAUAUUCUACGUCCUUAGACACAAUUAUCUUAAUUAGAGUCCGUCUAUGGCCAAUGACAAUGAGCCGGUUGUGACGUACCGAUUCUACCGAAAAAUUGCUCUUUCCUCAAAUGUAUUACAUAUGUCCAUAGAUUUUUGUCUAUCUAGAUGAGUUUUGAAAUUUAUUACAUAGUCCUUUCAACGUAAGGGACAUUGAUCAUUUCAUCACCUACGAGUGUUAAUUAUUAUCGUGCAUUAAAAAAAGCGACGGUAAAACUAUUGACAUGGAUAAUUUUCAACUGUUAUUAUUCUCAGAAUUUAUGUGGUAAUCAUUAACUAUGAUUCUCGUGAAAGCGUUGAUUGAUUUCUAACAUGAUAUCACUUCGUUGCUCGUUCUCUUUAUGAGUGUGUUUCUCAUUGAUUACCUACGUGUUUAGAGAUCACUCGAAGGAAGCAUUACAAUGAUGAGUUUUCAUUGUAAGUAUGUACUAUAAGAGUCACAUGUAAUAAUAACAUCCUGUUGUCAACAUAAUUUUUUUUUUCUAUCAUGUAUAAAUAUUACUAUAAAUAUCAAAAAGACGUAAAUAAAUGAAAUCGAAAGUUAUCUAAAAUUUUACAAGCUAUGUAAGUUGUAUAUUAUAAAUCAUCACUCGAAUCAUGAUCAUAAGAUGUUCCAUAGCGUUGGAGAACACGCGUGCGCACUGAUCUUUGGAAUGUACUUGUUAGACCCGGUCAAACCGGUUCGUUGGACGUUACACGUUGAGAACCUCUGCGGGUCAAUCGUGUCAAUUGUGACGAAUGUAUGUCGAGUCUGCGGAUGGUUCUUCUCUUUGGAUGCUUUAGAAAUAAUCUACGAUCACAUAUUCAAUAAUAUAUCAUAUAUUUAUAUAUAUAUAUGUGUGUGUGUGUGUGUGUGUGUGUGUGUGUGUGUGUGUGUAUAAAUAAUGCAUAUUUUUUAAUUAACAAAUUAUAAUUUACUUGACUCGACCUUGAGAAUAUUGCAUUAAGUAACAAAAUAUAAUCGCAAAGGAGACUCAUUACAUAGACGACUUCCUAUAAGAUUUGCAUAAUGUUUAUAGAUUUAUGGAAAUCGUAUGUGUAUAUGUAUAUGUAUAAUACAUGUGAUAAUGAAGUGACGUUACUGUCCGAAUGAAUCGCUGACGGAGAUACACUCAAAGAAGAGCAAUACAUUUGGCGUCCUACUUACAACAUGAAAUAAUUAACGUAGUAGUAAAGUUUACGAGACAUGCCUAAACAACUUCUAUCCCUCAUUGUCAAUAUGUCAACAGAAAAUAGAAAUCGUUGAUGAAUUAAUGAUUUAUAGCUCGUAAAAAUAUGAACAUUGAACAUUGAACAAAAAAAGUUAAAAUCACAAAGUAUAUAAGUAUAAAAGUUUAGUAGUAAAAAAAAAAGCGAAUUUUGUUUCGAGUUGAUCGACUCCAUUGGUUUAACGUUCCUCUCUUGUACAAGUGGAAUCUCGCGAAAGCGUAUAGUAUAGUUUCGAAGAUAAAUUUUCAAACCGGUUUCACUCUAUAAGCACGGGCCAAACUCGUUGAAGAAGAAGGAAUUUGAAAUCAUGCGACAAACACAUAGUAGGAAAUACAGUAUAUAAACAUCUAUAUAAAUAUAUGAAUAUAUAUGUAUGUGUAUUUGAAGAUCAAACGAUCCUUCUUCUCUUACUUUUUUUUUUCUUUUUUUCUUUUUUUUUUCUACCAUGAUCAUUCUCGAUCAUCGACGAACGAAGCCAUUUUUUUAUUCGCAGAAGAACCACAAGAUACACAUCCUGAUGUCUCGCUCAGAUAUAUCCUACCAAUCGAUGUUCACUAAGUCUCCUCACGAACUUUAUUCACGGACAAGUGACAUUAGAAUCUAUAUAUAUAUAUAUAUACACCUUCAAUAUUUCAUCAAGAAAUAGCUAUUAUUUUGAGACUUUCUAUUCUUAAAAGCAUUCGAAAGAAUAAUUCAUCAAGGAGACAUUGUUCUUUUCGUAAUAUCAAAAACUCCUUUAAAAACAUCCAGACGAGCAAUUUCUGUUGUUUCGAAUAGGGCGCUACGUAUGAACAUUGGUAUGCACAGUGAGUACAUAUACGAGCUGUUAGAAUCACAAAGGAAGCUGGAUUGGAACAAAGAAAGAAAGGAGAACCGAUCAGAGACAGAAGGAUCGUUCAGAAAGCCAUCUUACACGAGCUUGGACAAAUCAAGAAUAAUAAGUUUACAAGUUCGUCGACUUAUCUUUUGUUGAACACGAAUGUUUUUUCUUUUUCUUUUUUUUUUCUUUUUCUUUUCUUUUCUUCAAUUUUUUUCUUCUUUUUUCAUGCAAAUUACUUCGAAGGAAUUCCAAUGGAAUUUUAGAAGAACGCAUUCGAUUUGGAAAGAAAAAAAAUGAGAGAGAGAGAGAGAGAGAGAAAGAGGAGAGAGGGUAAGAGAGAUACGAUUUUCGAAAGUUAGUCUGAUGAGAGCUGAGAGCAAUGUCAACCGCCCACGCAGAAAAGACUAAGGGCUCUAAAGGAGGAGACUAACUCAAACGAGAAAGCAUCCAGCUGCUCUCCAGACUUCUCUAGCAUCUCUACGAGAGUUCUGCUUUUAUAGCCUCAACUAAAGCCGGUCUUUGUUCGAGGGACCACCGAGAUACGGCCCACGCGGGCCUUUCAUAUGAAUAAUACCUGAACUCGUGAGACCCAACCAUGCCGAGUCAAGGGGCUGAGUUACAGUUAUAUAUGUGUCCUAUGUACAUAUAUAUAUAUAUAUUUAAGUAUAUAACGCAACCCAGAGACUCGUAGACUCUUGGAAAUAUUCUCUCGAUAAUAUUGAAAUUUUUCCCCUACAAUUCCAAUUUACUCUCUCGAUAAAUCACAAUUUUAAUUAAGUGUUCGUUCCUACCGAUACUUCAUUCGUUAUCAAGGAUAAUUAAUCGUUGUUGAUUCGUCGAUAGAUUUAUCGUAGCUUUCUAUAUGAACGCUGUCAAUCAGAGGAACUUUAUCCUUUCUUUUAUUCGUGACUAAUAACGCUAAAAUUGAAAUUGAUUUCCAAGUGAAAUUCCAUACUUUCUACGUAUAGAUUAGAUAUAAUUAGCUUUACUGACCCUUAGAUAUCUCUUAUUACGUGACUGGAAAAGGAUUUCAUUCUUUUUAGAUCUUCGAAGAAUGAUUCCACUGUCUGAUUCACAGUUUCUUUUCUGAAUGCAUACGCAGAUACAUACACAGGCACGUACGCGCAUAUAAAUUUUUUGUAACGUUUAUUUUCAAGCGUAAUUUAAUUAUUGCUAAUUAAAAAUUAUUCUCAUUUAUUUCGAAAAUAUUUAUUCAGGAUUUAUCGUAAUUAAUCGUAUUUUAAUUUAUCGUAGUAUUAGAACGUACAUAAGUGACGCAUUUAACGUCAGUCAAUUACUUUCGAAUUUAUAGGUCACCAUGUAUAAUGUCUAUAUCAACGAUCUUAACGAUUUAACGAUCUUAACUAUAGAGAGACUCGCUUAAGGAGUCAACGCAACGUAUACUUACCUGCUACGCAUAUGCGUACGUUCUUGUAUUUUAAAUGUCGUCAAGUUAACGCACGUACAAAAAGAAUGUCUUUGACUGUGUAAGAGCAUUGACACGCAAAUAGCGAUUUAAGCUUUCUUCUUGACACUGUCACGCGAUACAACGUUUUAAUCUGGCCACGUUCGUGAACAUGGAAAACAAACUUACGUGUUUCGAGUAAUAGUUUGAAAUGGAACGAAUAGUUAAAAAAAAAAGAAAAAAGGUUCUCAAAUUACUUUACAAACAUCAACUGAUAUUAUAUAUUUGUAUAUUUUUUUUUUCUUUUCUUUAUACAUAACACUGCAAUAUCUUCGCUGAGAUCGUUUUAGAAGGUAUCAGAGAGAACAAAAAAUAGAUUAUAAAAAUAAAAAAAAUACUUCGUCGUAAGAUACGCCUAAGAAGAUUUUAACGAAGUAAGACCGUAUGAAUGGGGGCUUAAGGCAGCUGGAAGAAGAUUGGAGAUCAUGAUCGAGUCACAACAAAUAAGCUCGUUAAUCUAGUCUUCCCUCGUGAAAUAAACUGAGCAAGGAGAGGAUUUUUUUUUUUCAUUUAGCGAUAUGGACUCGUUGAAAGUCUAAUUUUAAGGACAACUCUGCUAAUCAUCGAAGCGAACGUUCUUUUUCGUUUGUUUUUUUAUUUCUUUUUUCUUUUUUCUUUUUUCUUUUCUUUUUUCUUUUUUUAUUUCGCGAGCUAGCUACGAAGAAAAGAUUAAAAGAAGGCAGCUCAAAGCCGACUGGUUCUCAUAAAAAUCGGUCCAUCGUUUCUUUCGUUGGUACGUAAGUACAAUGGAAGUGAUAAAUAGAAAAGGGCUCAUUUCGAGAGUCGAAAGAGGGAACUCGAAGGACCAUAGAUGGCUGUUAGAAAAGGGUUCGGCUCUUUUGUUUUCUUCCCAUUCGAUUCGCAUUCUUAAGUUCCGUUUUUCGCUGCGUCAACCCCUCUCAACAGGCAAGCCAUUGUGUUAAGAACACCACUUUCAGAACUGGCACUAAAUGAACACGUUUCUUCGUAACAUGCACAUCCCGUUUAAUAUCUUUCCCAUGUUUUUCUUUUUUUUUCUUCUUCUUUCUUUCAUUUUUUAUUUAUCCCACAGAAAAAAAAAACGAAUGCGUACGUGCAAUACUUGAACAAAAUUAUUCUACGUCGUCGAGAAAAAUUUUCCCUUUUAUAUAAUAUUUUCACUAAAAAUAUUUGGUCUCUUCGCGAUAUAUCAUUCGUUAUAACAAUAUAUAUGUAUGGCACUUUCGAAAUUAAAAAUAUAUAGUCUUAUCACUUGGCACAUCCCAGCGAUAAUUAAAUCAUUUACAUACUUCGAUUCGAUCGAAUAAUUAUGAAGAAGUCUCAAUAUCCAAAGUCUUCGAUUUUUCCUGCAAUGGAUAUUCUUCGACGUCUAAGUAAGUCGUCUUAUAGUAUUGUCCUUGAUUUAUGUUCUCGAGAUCCUGAGCUAAUCUUUCUAAGAGAUCUUUGAACACAUAAUUGUCUAAAUUUUUGGCGAUAUAAUACAAAAAAAGCCAAUCGCCAAAAUGAUAUUCCCGAGUAACUCUAACUACAUUCCAAGGAUUAUAUUUUCCAGGACAGGCCAUAGAGAAAAGAAUUUUGUUAAACGCCUCACUUCUAAAGAAAUAAAAUAUAAUUGAAGAUCGUAAAAAAUUAUUUUUAUAAAAAAAAUUAAAAAAUAAUUACCAACCUAGCAUGUAAUACCAUCGUUAUCAAUCUCCAAAUAAGCCCAAGCAAAGUGAUGAAGGAUAGAAUAAUGAACCAGUACCACAGGAAUGUAUAGAUCUUCUCAUUAAUGAUAUUCAAUGCCAUCACGCAAAGAGCAUCGUGAGUUUGUAUCGUACCCGAAGAACCAUAUUUAUGGAAUGUACACUUUGUUACCUAUGAAUCAUUAAAACACGUAGAAAAUAUCUAAAUGAAAAAAGAUAAAGAAAGUAUGAUUCAUACCUUGGGAAAGACAAUAUCGAGUGGCUCCAUUCUUCCACUGUAGCUUUUGUCUCCAAUAAUUUUACCAAGAUUCAUAAAGGCUCCACCAAGGAACCAAUUGGUCAAAUAAAUUUGCGUUACAACAUUAAUGAAAUUUAAUAUCUCACAAAAAGUGAGAUAAUAAGACCAAGUUCGAUUGAUGUAAAUACGUUCGAUAAAUGCCUUUCGAAUUUUUUGUAUCUUUUGAUCAACAUCAUCUUUCGAUGGCACUUGGUAUUUAUCGUUGACCUUCAUUGCCGUUUCAUGCAAACCCAAGCAAGCCACAUGUAAACCCGAGACUAAAUUCUUCAAACGACCACCUAAACACACACACACACACAUCUUCAAUAUAUUACUAAGGAUAUAGAUAUCUUGACAAUUCUGUUUAAGUCUUUAAAUUUCAACGCUUCUGUUAAUUCAGAGAAAUCGAGCGAGGUAACAAUCGUCAAACUGAUAGUAUUAUUCAUCUUCAAAUCAUUUUUUAAAGAAAUAUUGUAAACUAUGAUUAUAAAUGAUAUCAGCUGAAUAAUUGUCAUGAAAUCUUUCACAUUUUCAUAAAUUUCAUAUAAUCGCAGUAGUUUUUUUUAUACAAUCGAAUUACAUUAUUAAGCGUUAAUCUAUUACCAAUAUAAUGUUCUUGUAUCGUAAUAAAAUAUAUUUUAUAUCAAAUUCAUACAAGACGAUAUUAAUAACUUACCUUCUGUCUUUCGCCAUAUGUAAUGUGGUAGAUAAAAGAGAAGAGCUUGGAAAAAUAAAACAAAAGGUACCCAUUGAUAAUACGCAUGAUGAACAGUCUCAUCAUUUUUCCCAAUUGGUCCAACUCCAGGAUGCGGAAUUUCUCCUUCAUUCACGUACGAUGCAUUCAUAUGCUUCACCUACGAGUAAAUUCGUUGCAUCGAUAAGGAACGUACGUAAUUGCUCGUGUAACAGAUUACAAGACUUUCGUUUUCACGGGACGCUCGGAUAUGAAAGGAAUCGUCAUUCCACGCAUAACUAAAUAUAAACGUUCUUAAGACUUACCACGGUGAAAGUCGACGUAAAGAAGCAAUAGGUUUCUAUAACAUGCGGAUUUAUCGAUGAAUCGGCUAUGCAUCUGUUUCAAAAAAAAAAAAAAAAAAAAAAAAAAAAAUUUACACAUGUGUUCAAUG